CAAUGUUGGAUUUUUCUCCAGAGCUCCAGUUACUGCAGUCCCCAAGGAUGAAAAAGUGGAGUUUUUAUUCAAACUAUAUUGUCUAUAAUUUGUACAUAUCUUUUGUAUAUGACAUAUGAUAUUAAUAUUGGAUUUUUUUUUCUUAUUAUCUUGAAAACUCCUGGACCAAGGACCAACCACAGGCUUGCCGUCUAUAAGUACCAUUUUUCCUUCUCCUGCUCAAAGACAGUUAGUAGGCAGCUAUAUUGAACAUAGACCAGUGGCACUCAAAAACCUGGAUCCACCCCUGCAUUUUGAGUCGUUGCCUAAGAUAUUAUGGAAUUCUGUAAACGAUUGUCAAAAAAGUUAAACAAAGUCAAACGCCGUGAUUUAUACUGAACACUGAAUAAAACUCGAGCGAGCACUCAACCAGUUCAGCCUUUGAUCCCGUAUCGCUAAAGGCUUCUUUUCCUCGGCCUAUCCUGAAGUUCUGUUUAGUUUUUAGACCUUGUAGAGAGCUCACAGGUCAUUCGAGUAUAGAAUCCAGUUAUUUGAAAACUCUCUUCAAAUUUGUGAAAUUAAGUUCUAAAGCACAAGUUAAAUAUUUUAUGCAUAGACAAAAACGGAAAUUAUUUGGCCAUUCGGCAAAUCGCGAUAUUUUUUAAGACACGAAGUAACAUGUUAUAAAACACAAAGUUAAUUAUUUUUUGCAAUAGACAAAACCUGAAAUAAUUUGCGCAUUUGGCAAAUCGCGAGAUUUUUUAAGACACAAAGUCCCAUGUUAUGAAGCACAAAGUCAAAUAUUUUAUGCAAUAGACAAAUAGUGCUAUGUUACAAGCUCAAAUUUGAAUGUCGUGAACGAUAUACUGAAAUGUUUUAAGCAAAGGCAAAAUGAUGAGUUUUUUAAGACACAAAGUGCGAUGUUUUGAGACACAAAGUGCGAUAUGGUGAACUAAACCUGCAAUGUUUUAAGCGAUAAUCAAAUAGUGCUUUGUCGUGACACUCAAAGUGAGUUGUCGUGACGCAAAUAGUUCAAAGUCGUGACCGAAAGGUGAGAUGUUGUUAACGAAAACGUUGAGUGGCCCUCAUGGGCUUCCGUAAUAAACUCCAGCGGAAUACCCGACUGAUAUGAAAAAGAGGCUCCACCGCGACGGAGAGAAUGUUGCCGCAUCUACGCCUGAAAUAUUAUUAUUAAUAUUAAUAUUAAGGUGUUGUCUAAGUUUCGUCAUGAACAGAUUAUCAGUAAAGAUGUUAUAGUUGUGACUACAGUUAACCCAUGCGAACGCUUGGGAUUGUGCAUUACAACCGGGGGUAAGGCGAAAGGCGUGCAUAAUCGCUGCUGUGGGGCAAAGCGCACUGCUCGGUAUGCGCGGCAAGGGAACCUUGACAAUGCGUUCGCGAAAUUGGAUGGUUUUUACUCCAGCGUAUCGUCACAAGCGUACCCCAUGAAUGAAUCGUAAAAUCUUAGCUGCUUGGUGGCUUCGAAUUUAGACACCGCAGUGGGGAGUAGGUGCGGUUUCCGAAACAUACCGAAAAACGCCACAAAACAUAUAGCCCAAGGAGGCAUUGAAACUCUUACGUAAAACCAAAGGACUACCUGAGGGUCAUGAUUGAUGCUAAAGGCUUGAAGGCAUAAGAAUAGGCAAAUGUAGCUGGGAUUUCUUACUUUGAUACAGCAGUAUAAGUGUAAUAGGGUUUUUAGAGCAAGAUACUUUGUGUCAAUGAUGCUGUAAA
Long non-coding RNA from Nematostella vectensis (starlet sea anemone), 1713 nucleotides. RefSeq lists it as uncharacterized. The record is from RefSeq and is a predicted model, not a curated record. The transcript is spliced from 2 exons. Lineage: Eukaryota; Metazoa; Cnidaria; Anthozoa; Actiniaria; Edwardsiidae.